AUGCCAAAAUGAUGCAAAGCCACCGGAACUGCUAAAUAAUUACUUGGUUCUAUAUUACACAUCUAAAAGAGCAGAGAAUAUGUAGAAACAACUAGGAACGUGAACAUGUGUUAUGUGUUUUUAUAUGACAUUCGAGAAAGCUGAAUGAAUUAGGAUCCCUUCUGCCAAAACAAGUAAAGGCAAGUGUGUUAAAAAGCAAACAAAAAACAUCACCACCACAACACCAAACUAUAUGAUUUGACUGUAAUAGAUUCUACAAAUCCAAUAAAGGUAGAAAUGAAAAGAUGAGAAAUAAAAAGACUUAAAAAUUCUCACUCAAAUGCUAUUAAUACAAUAGGUACCAUUUUAUUGGUACUUAUAUUCCUGAACAUGGUAGUUAUUAGAUAUUAUUGUACUAUGUCUUCUACUUGCAUUAUCUAAUUUAAACUCGAAACGGCCAAAGGAGCUAUUACUGUCCACAUUUUACGAAUGAAGAUAUUGAAGUUCAGAGAAGAUGAACAACUUGCUAGUGGCUGAAAAGCAGGGAUUGAAGCCCAUGACUCUGGCCCAGCCCCAGUUUUUGCCCAUGCAGGUGCAUUGUCCCUCUGUGCAGGACCAGUCCACUCAACACCACUGGGUUCGGGGCUGAAGUAGCUGUUCACAGAUUUACUCACACUCUCUGGAUCGGUUUUAUAAACACAAAUUCAGGAUUGGAUGAGACUCAAGAGAGUGCUUAAUCUAAGCGCUUGAUAUUACAGAAAAGGAAACUGAGGCCCACAGAAAGAAAUUUAGGAUUGCUCCACUAGGAGUGGAGUGGUGCCUGCAAUGUGGAAACAAAAUGGAUCGCCUCCUUUCCUCCCCUUUGCCCGCACCUUCUCCCCACCCCGCAUGUUCUCUCUUGCAUUAGCAUUCAGAUUCUGUUUCCUAGUCAAAGAUGAAUGUUGCUUCUUUUCCCUGAAAGCCUUCCAAGUGCUUUAACUUGUAUUUUCCAGGGCUCAAGAACUAUCUCUGCGAUAUUCUCCAUCCCCUUUCCCUCCUGCCCCUCUACCUCAGAUUUCUGGAACAGGGUCAGUACCUCUCACAAACCAAACAGGGGCUCUCUGUUUUUAUGGAGUUCCAUGAAAGAAAAUUCCAUAGGCUUCUGCGGUCACCUAUCCCACUGUUUAAUAAUAUUCUUCUAGAGAAAUUUCGCCUUAAAUUUAAUCUAUCUCCCUCCCUCUCUAAUGCAAAUUCAACUCGUUCCUCUUUUUCUGGCCUUAGGGAUUAGGGCCAUUAUCCUGCUGAUUAUCCUUCAUGCAUUGUCUUGAAGAGUUGUUAAAUUGCUUUCAAUCUUCUUUUCUCCAAGUAAAAGACAAUUUCUUUAAGUUCUCUCAGAGGUUCUAAUUUAUAACCAUUUAUUAGCUUUUCCAUUCUUCCUCUCAUUUCUCCUCUCUCAGACUGUAAUUCUAACCUAUUAAAUACAAAUCUGGUAAAGAUCUGAUCCAUGUCAAAUAAGUUUUUAUGCUAUAAGUACUCCCAUAGCUUGCCAUCAGGUGUGCCUCUGCAGCAGAGCCACCUCGUUGGUUGAGACUGGGCUUCACCAAGACCAGACCCUCCUCUGCCAGGCUAAUUUAGGAACAGUGAUUAGGGUGUGUGCUGGAGAAGCAGAGGGAGACCAGCGUGUAUCAAGUCUUUUCUCUCUGCCAGGUGCUUUACACAAUUAGUAAAAUCUCCACAAUAAUCCUCUGUGCAUGACAUUAUUCUCAUUUUACAAAUUUAUAACUCCAAGAUCUAGAUGCCAAGUAACUUGCCUGGGGUCCCAGAGCUAAAAUUUGAACCCAGAGCUUUUGCACUCCAAAGCUAUACUCUUUUCUCAGGACAUAAUGGUGCUCCAAGAUCUGAAUCUCAAAUUUGGGUCAACAUCAGUCCAACCUCCUUCAGUGGAGGAAGGAUGGAGACUGGGAGCACCAUAAUUUCUACAGCAGUGACCUGGAGCACUUUAAAUCCAACCUGGGGCCUCAGUAUCCGGGUCAUUUCUUGGCUGCCUAUGUUCUUAGCUGUUCAGUAGGUGUUGGGUGGCUUUUAAACUGGGCUAGUAGCUCCUUAGACCUAUCAAACAAGGCCUGGUUCUUUUUCUGAUCAUUGCCAGCCUCUGUCAGCAGUAUUAAAAUUGGACGGGGGCAGAGUAUGCCACUAUGGAAGCUCCAGUGGCAUACAGCCUGGGACAUGUGACCUCAUUAUCAGGAGAGAGAUGCAGUGAUCGAGCCUCACUGGGCUCGACCCUCCUGGGCCUGCUGGUAAAAUCACUUUCUUCUUUCACCUUUAGAUCUCUUCUAUCCUUCAAUCAGCUCUAUUUUGAAGAGAACAAAUUAUCUAUUGCUUUGGAUAAUAUGAUUAAUUUUUUGUUUAGAAAAGUGAAAGUUAAAAAAAUAGGUUAGAAAUGGAGGGAAAUACAUAAUAGAACAUAAUUUAAAUAUCUACUUAGUAGACUACCAUGUUAGUAUUUUUAGUCAAUCUUAAUUUAACACUAUAUAGUAGAAAUACAUUGUACUUAUAGUAUAUACAUGAUAUUCUAUAGCAUAUCUUCACAUCCACAUACAUACUGCAUAGGUCCAUACUUCUAUAGUCAACUAGUAUUUUUUCUCCUAAUCCUGCCACUUGACCAGAUCAAUCCAGCUCUAAAUCCAAGGGUGGUAAGCCACAACCAGACAAGUUUCAGGAAUGCAGUUAGUCCAACACCCUCCAGUGACCCAGUGCACAGCAACCCUGGCUCAGUAGAAACAGUAGACCUGGAGGUGGCAAACCCAUGCCUGAACACCAUCUUUGCUACCUUCUACCUGUGUGACCUUAGACAUGACUCUGAACUUCCAUUUUCUCAUCUAUAACAUGAAAAUAAUAUCACAUACCUCAUAGAGUUGUUGAAAGGGUUAAAACAUAUAAGCUUUAAAGUACAAAUGUUACUUAUAAUUCACUUUUAUCCUCUGCUGGGUUCACUUAGGGACAGCAGCAAGUUUUCUGAUUCCUAUUACUCAUCUAGGGGGAAUACAUAAGGAGGCUCAUGUGUGGUGACCCAAGACAGCAGUGGUCAUUAGCAGCCGCUAUCUCUUUCUAUUAGGGAAUAUCUACCUUGAUGCUGUAGUAUAAUAGGCACAUAAGAACACAGAAUGCAAACAGAAAAGUAGAAGAUACAGUUGUCCUUGAGGAAUUUACUAUUUAACCUUAAAGACAAAUCACGAAAAUAAAAGACAAUUACAAAGCCACAAAUGCUACUCAUAAAUGAAUACAGAAUAAUGCAUUAUAAACUAGAUAGGCUAACAGAUUAGAUGAAUUUGGUCUAGGAGAAUAUGGAAAUAAGAAAUGAUUAGCCUGGGGUUAGAUCUCUUGGAUAAAAUCAGUUCUGAAGGAGGGAAGGGAAUGACUGAAAAGAAUGAAGAGGAUACUCAGGAAAGGGGAGUGGUACAAGCAAAGAUGAUGGCCUAGUAAUGAUGAAGAGCCAAGUUAGAUGAUCUAAGAAAGAGAGGAAACCCUAAUAUCGUCUCACAAAACCUUCACAAAAACCUUGUGAAGUUCACACUAUUAUCUUGAUUUUACAAAUGCAGAAACUCAGGUUCAGAGCUUGUCCAAUAGGGAGCUGGAGUUGGAAUCCAGGCCCUUGUUGACUCCACGGUAACAGUCUCUUGGUGAAUGAUUCCCAGGGCAAGCAUGCUGGGUUGUCCACCUCUGUUCAAGUCAAUCAUUUUCCUUCCUAAAUCGAAGAAACUGUUUUUCCUCCUUCUAGAACUGUUACCUUCUUCUUGGGCUUUUAACACCUUAUACUUCAUUUGACUGACCACUUCCCCAACAGAAUGGUGUCACUCUGACUUCUACUGUUGAUUUUUUGAAAAGUGUUGAAUAUCUAAUGUAAUUUACUGAAUACUAUACUGCAAGUGAAAAACAGAAUGAUUGUACGGGCACUCAAAGUACGGCUUCUACUGAAUACAGAUGGCUUUUGCACCAUCAUCGAGUCAAAAAAUUCAAAAGGCAGAGAAGACUCCUCACUAGGACACCCAGCUUGUGAGGCGACUGACUUCGAGUUUGUACUUGGCUGUCAUGCACCCGGGAUGCACCAGGCACAAGUCACAGCCACACUGUUUUUGGAGGUGUCACCAGUCAACGAGGUGAAGUACAGUGAGGCCCCAGUUCCUGCACUAUGGACUAGUGAACAGUCAAAGUGUGUGUGCAUUUUUAGGGAUUGACAAAUGAAAAUAGCAGAACUGUGCCAAACGAAACGAUUUAAUCUGUUCAUAUAGGGUAGGGGUGGAGCAACAGCAGAGAACACUUCAGGGUUUCUCACCUAGGGUGCUCUGUGAUGACUCAGGGACUGGCCUGGCUCCUUUGGGUCAUUCAUCAAAGCCAUUUUGAAGCAAGGACUGCUUAGUAGGAGCUGAGCUUUCCACCAGAAAGACAACUUAGGAAAUAGCUCCUGGCUGUGAGAACCUAAGAGGUAUGCAUGGUUCUGGAUGGGAAUCUCAAAGAUGAUGGCGGUCAUCAAAUGGAACUGAAGCAGGUAGAGAAAGUGGUUUCAAAAGGAUCUAAAGAUGACGGAAAACAUUUCAACAGUUAAACCACUUAGAUAACUAAUAGGAAGAAUUCACUGGGAAGAAAAAUCCCCACGGGAAGCUCCAGAGAAUGGGCUAUAUUGCUGACCAGGAAGGGAGAUAUAGGAAGCCUAUAAAGUUGGCUUAAACCUCAUGUUGAUUAAACCUCAUGGUGUUCACAGACUUGAGCUGCAAGUGAGAAAAUCCAAUGGGAAAACAUUCCAGAUUGCUAUAAAGCAAUUCAAGGGAAUGGCACUGGCUUGUAGGAAAUGUAUUGGGAAUGAGAUAGAGAAAUCCACAUUCAACAAGAAACAGGAAUCAUUAAACAUGCAUUAACUCAAAU
Long non-coding RNA from Homo sapiens (human), 4878 nucleotides. RefSeq lists it as uncharacterized. The transcript is spliced from 3 exons. Lineage: Eukaryota; Metazoa; Chordata; Mammalia; Primates; Hominidae. The record is from RefSeq and is a predicted model, not a curated record.